Molecule: ribosomal RNA, 607 nt
Filed under: Escherichia coli
Lineage: Bacteria; Pseudomonadati; Pseudomonadota; Gammaproteobacteria; Enterobacterales; Enterobacteriaceae
Description: partial 23S ribosomal RNA
Rfam family: Bacterial large subunit ribosomal RNA
Source: RNAcentral
UCUUUAUGGGGUGACUGCGUACCUUUUGUAUAAUGGGUCAGCGACUUAUAUUCUGUAGCAAGGUUAACCGAAUAGGGGAGCCGAAGGGAAACCGAGUCUUAACUGGGCGUUAAGUUGCAGGGUAUAGACCCGAAACCCGGUGAUCUAGCCAUGGGCAGGUUGAAGGUUGGGUAACACUAACUGGAGGACCGAACCGACUAAUGUUGAAAAAUUAGCGGAUGACUUGUGGCUGGGGGUGAAAGGCCAAUCAAACCGGGAGAUAGCUGGUUCUCCCCGAAAGCUAUUUAGGUAGCGCCUCGUGAAUUCAUCUCCGGGGGUAGAGCACUGUUUCGGCAAGGGGGUCAUCCCGACUUACCAACCCGAUGCAAACUGCGAAUACCGGAGAAUGUUAUCACGGGAGACACACGGCGGGUGCUAACGUCCGUCGUGAAGAGGGAAACAACCCAGACCGCCAGCUAAGGUCCCAAAGUCAUGGUUAAGUGGGAAACGAUGUGGGAAGGCCCAGACAGCCAGGAUGUUGGCUUAGAAGCAGCCAUCAUUUAAAGAAAGCGUAAUAGCUCACUGGUCGAGUCGGCCUGCGCGGAAGAUGUAACGGGGCUAAACCAUG